This 253-nucleotide ribosomal RNA is filed under the name uncultured bacterium. RNAcentral's name for it is "partial 16S ribosomal RNA". It matches the Rfam family "Bacterial small subunit ribosomal RNA", at positions 524 to 776 of the family's 1533-position model. The record is from RNAcentral.
UACGUAGGGGGCAAGCGUUGUCCGGAUUUAUUGGGCGUAAAGAGCGUGUAGGCGGCUGGGUAGGUCCGUUGUGAAAACUCGAGGCUCAACCUCGAGACGCCGAUGGAAACCCCCUGGCUAGAGUCCGGAAGAGGAGAGUGGAAUUCCUGGUGUAGCGGUGAAAUGCGUAGAUAUCUGGAGGAACACCGGUGGCGAAGGCGGCAUCCUGGACCGGCACUGACGCUGAGGAGCGAAAGCCAGGGGAGCAAACGGG